UGCACUGUUGUUUGGUGCAGGGCUCUUCACUCAUGGAUGGGCUCUCUCACUGCAGGAGGGGUUAAAGAGUUCCUGCUCUCUCAUUGGUUUAAAAAUCAUCUGGUCCUUAAAGUGAUGCUGCCGGAUUGGGCAACAGAUAACAGACGGUUGCUGAUUGGUGGAUACAACUGUCACUCAAACAAGCAAGGCUGUUUUAAGGCAGAUCACCUGCAAUGGAUACCUUUACCGGCUGGUAUGCGUCAGCUGAAAACAAGCGAAACAGCCAAGCUGAGAGCUUCAGCAAGGUUACCGAAGAGGAAAAGAGCGGAUUAAACGCUCUCGAGAGCAAUGCAAAUGAGACACUUGUCAAGAGGAAAGGGUGAUUUUGACAGCUCUCUGUCAGAAGGGCUUGACAGACCACAUGGCAUGGAAGGGGGGUCUACUAUGUUUAAAUGAAAGCUGGUUUAGUUGGUGUUAUACUCUACCAAUGCAUUCUGAGUUCACAUAAGCAUUUUACCCAUGUUUGAUGUUGUUCUCCACUAUGCAUCAUUUUUGACUUCAUUGGUCAACCAGAUAAGAAAUUCCAUGCUGCCUGACCAACAGUUUUUGCUGUUAAAUAACAUGGCUAUUCCAAACCAACCAGCAAAAACCAACCUGCCAAUGCGUGCUAGUGUAAGCUGCAAGGAUACAAGCAGCGAUGUUAUGUCCAUCCAUAUAACAUUUUUGUAUUUCAGAAAAUGUAGGAGAUAAAGACAAGAAAAUGCACAUACUCACACACACACACAUACACAAAACGUACUACUGUAGCCUCCUAUGACAUCAGCACUCCCAGCCUUUGUCGCACCCUGUCAAAAUGUGAACUCUGUGAACUACUGGAGAGAAACAAACCAGUCCAUAGCCUUGAAUGGAAAAUAAACCCUGCCAUCAUGAAUAAUCAUCAGAGACAGCAUGGAGCUUCAUAGUCAUUCUCUUUCUCACUUUGUGUUUUGGUGAAAGAGUAUUUCGAAUUAAUGCAAGAUCUCUGCUGACUCAUCCAUUGAAAUGUCAAUGUCAAGAUAAAUUGAUGUGUUUGCUUUACCUGUCUGGUUUUCCCUUUCUGUACUCAAAAUGUCAGCGAAAUUUAAAGUGAAGGCUGUA
Long non-coding RNA from Paramisgurnus dabryanus, 1116 nucleotides. RefSeq lists it as uncharacterized. The record is from RefSeq and is a predicted model, not a curated record. Lineage: Eukaryota; Metazoa; Chordata; Actinopteri; Cypriniformes; Cobitidae.